This 368-nucleotide ribosomal RNA is filed under the name uncultured organism. RNAcentral describes it as "bacterial SSU rRNA". It matches the Rfam family "Bacterial small subunit ribosomal RNA", at positions 526 to 896 of the family's 1533-position model. The record is from RNAcentral.
CGGAGGGUGCAAGCGUUGUCCGGAUUUAUUGGGUUUAAAGGGUGCGUAGGCGGUCUUUUAAGUCAGUGGUGAAAUCCUGCAGCUCAACUGUAGAUCAGCUAUUGAUACUGAAAGACUUGAGUACAGACGAGGUAGGCGGAAUUUAUGGUGUAGCGGUGAAAUGCAUAGAUACCAUAAAGAACCCCUAUUGCGAAGGCAGCUUACUAGGUUGUAACUGACGCUGAGGCACGAAAGCGUGGGGAUCAAACAGGAUUAGAUACCCUGGUAGUCCACGCCGUAAACGAUGAUUACUCGAUGUUCGCGAUAUACGGUGAGCGUCCAAGCGAAAGCGUUAAGUAAUCCACCUGGGAAGUACGAUCGCAAGAUUG